RNAcentral lists this long non-coding RNA (1052 nucleotides) under Macaca mulatta (Rhesus monkey). RNAcentral's name for it is "lncRNA (ENSMMUG00000061190.1)". Lineage: Eukaryota; Metazoa; Chordata; Mammalia; Primates; Cercopithecidae. The record is from RNAcentral.
GCAAGGCUGGAGAUGGGACACUGGGAGGCCCAGGGAGCUGACACCCAGAUGGGAUUGUGGUGGUGUGCUGGAGGCACAGCCCUAUGGUGGAACUGGAUGUGGUCAGAAGGAGUCAAGAAAGUGCCUGAGACUUGGUCUACUUGUGUUGAGGAUGGGGAGCUGGGCAGGUGAGGAGGUCGGAGAAAAGAAGAGCAGUGUGGGAAGGGCAGGGAAGUGUCUAGUCCUGUGCUCAGGUACAUGGAUGUGCAAGUCCCAGUUCAGGAGAGAGCUCUAUGCCCAAGAAGGACAAUGAGUGGCCACAGAUGUCCUGGGGGUGGAGGAAGCUGUCCUUGGCGAAUGGGCAGGGCAGGAAGGGGUGGAGGACUGAGCCCGGGGAAGCAUCAGUACUGAGAGGUGGAUAGAGGAGAGAAACUGCCCAAGGGGUGGGAGAAAAGCCAGGAGCACCCAGUGUUCUGAGGGAGGAGAGAGUGGCCUCCCAAGCAAGGAUGGGCACCCAAUCAGGACCCCAAUGGGCCAGGAGAAAUGAGGCAGCAAAAGGGACCAUGGGCUUUAGCAAGAAGGAGGUCUAGGGAGAGCUCUUUUGAGAACCAUGGUGGGCUCAAAGUGGCUGGGGUCCCUUGCCAAGGAUGGGGUAUGUGUGGACUGGGAAUGGAAACAAGUAAAGCCAAGGGUCCCUUUCCCAGAGUUUCUGCAGAUGGACAGAGAGAGAAGACGGAGCAUGGGAGGAACAGGUCACCAGAACACAUCUCUCGUGCUGGAAAGCAGACUCAGGAGGGAAGAGGAUGACUGUCACCAGGGCAACCAUGCUGGCCAUGGGAUGUCAGUGGAGGCCCCAGGUGAGCCCCGUGGUAGGCUCAAGGUCGAGGCAGGUGGUGGUCACAGAGGGCCACGGAGAAGAGGAGAAAGAGACCAAAGUUCCAUCCCAAACUCUUCUGUGGACGCAGGAGGAGAGAGCAGAUGAGAGGGAGAUGGAAACAAAAGAUUCACUGGAAAUCACAAGUUUGCUGCUCUCCUGGCUCCUGCGCCCCCUCCCUCGGCACCUUUGUAAACAG